This 2923-nucleotide ribosomal RNA is filed under the name Escherichia sp. E4742. RNAcentral's name for it is "23S ribosomal RNA". It matches the Rfam family "Bacterial large subunit ribosomal RNA". The record is from RNAcentral. Lineage: Bacteria; Pseudomonadati; Pseudomonadota; Gammaproteobacteria; Enterobacterales; Enterobacteriaceae.
GGGUUGUGAGGUUAAGCGACUAAGCGUACACGGUGGAUGCCCUGGCAGUCAGAGGCGAUGAAGGACGUGCUAAUCUGCGAUAAGCGUCGGUAAGGUGAUAUGAACCGUUAUAACCGGCGAUUUCCGAAUGGGGAAACCCAGUGUGUUUCGACACACUAUCAUUAACUGAAUCCAUAGGUUAAUGAGGCGAACCGGGGGAACUGAAACAUCUAAGUACCCCGAGGAAAAGAAAUCAACCGAGAUUCCCCCAGUAGCGGCGAGCGAACGGGGAGCAGCCCAGAGCCUGAAUCAGUGUGUGUGUUAGUGGAAGCGUCUGGAAAGGCGCGCGAUACAGGGUGACAGCCCCGUACACAAAAAUGCACAUGCUGUGAGCUCGAUGAGUAGGGCGGGACACGUGGUAUCCUGUCUGAAUAUGGGGGGACCAUCCUCCAAGGCUAAAUACUCCUGACUGACCGAUAGUGAACCAGUACCGUGAGGGAAAGGCGAAAAGAACCCCGGCGAGGGGAGUGAAAAAGAACCUGAAACCGUGUACGUACAAGCAGUGGGAGCCUCUUUAUGGGGUGACUGCGUACCUUUUGUAUAAUGGGUCAGCGACUUAUAUUCUGUAGCAAGGUUAACCGAAUAGGGGAGCCGAAGGGAAACCGAGUCUUAACUGGGCGUUAAGUUGCAGGGUAUAGACCCGAAACCCGGUGAUCUAGCCAUGGGCAGGUUGAAGGUUGGGUAACACUAACUGGAGGACCGAACCGACUAAUGUUGAAAAAUUAGCGGAUGACUUGUGGCUGGGGGUGAAAGGCCAAUCAAACCGGGAGAUAGCUGGUUCUCCCCGAAAGCUAUUUAGGUAGCGCCUCGUGAAUUCAUCUCCGGGGGUAGAGCACUGUUUCGGCAAGGGGGUCAUCCCGACUUACCAACCCGAUGCAAACUGCGAAUACCGGAGAAUGUUAUCACGGGAGACACACGGCGGGUGCUAACGUCCGUCGUGAAGAGGGAAACAACCCAGACCGCCAGCUAAGGUCCCAAAGUCAUGGUUAAGUGGGAAACGAUGUGGGAAGGCCCAGACAGCCAGGAUGUUGGCUUAGAAGCAGCCAUCAUUUAAAGAAAGCGUAAUAGCUCACUGGUCGAGUCGGCCUGCGCGGAAGAUGUAACGGGGCUAAACCAUGCACCGAAGCUGCGGCAGCGACACUAUGUGUUGUUGGGUAGGGGAGCGUUCUGUAAGCCGUUGAAGGUGUGCUGUGAGGCAUGCUGGAGGUAUCAGAAGUGCGAAUGCUGACAUAAGUAACGAUAAAGCGGGUGAAAAGCCCGCUCGCCGGAAGACCAAGGGUUCCUGUCCAACGUUAAUCGGGGCAGGGUGAGUCGACCCCUAAGGCGAGGCCGAAAGGCGUAGUCGAUGGGAAACAGGUUAAUAUUCCUGUACUUGGUGUUACUGCGAAGGGGGGACGGAGAAGGCUAUGUUGGCCGGGCGACGGUUGUCCCGGUUUAAGCGUGUAGGCUGGUUUUCCAGGCAAAUCCGGAAAAUCAAGGCUGAGGCGUGAUGACGAGGCACUACGGUGCUGAAGCAACAAAUGCCCUGCUUCCAGGAAAAGCCUCUAAGCAUCAGGUAACAUCAAAUCGUACCCCAAACCGACACAGGUGGUCAGGUAGAGAAUACCAAGGCGCUUGAGAGAACUCGGGUGAAGGAACUAGGCAAAAUGGUGCCGUAACUUCGGGAGAAGGCACGCUGAUAUGUAGGUGAAGCGACUUGCUCGUGGAGCUGAAAUCAGUCGAAGAUACCAGCUGGCUGCAACUGUUUAUUAAAAACACAGCACUGUGCAAACACGAAAGUGGACGUAUACGGUGUGACGCCUGCCCGGUGCCGGAAGGUUAAUUGAUGGGGUCAGCGCAAGCGAAGCUCUUGAUCGAAGCCCCGGUAAACGGCGGCCGUAACUAUAACGGUCCUAAGGUAGCGAAAUUCCUUGUCGGGUAAGUUCCGACCUGCACGAAUGGCGUAAUGAUGGCCAGGCUGUCUCCACCCGAGACUCAGUGAAAUUGAACUCGCUGUGAAGAUGCAGUGUACCCGCGGCAAGACGGAAAGACCCCGUGAACCUUUACUAUAGCUUGACACUGAACAUUGAGCCUUGAUGUGUAGGAUAGGUGGGAGGCUUUGAAGCGUGGACGCCAGUCUGCGUGGAGCCGACCUUGAAAUACCACCCUUUAAUGUUUGAUGUUCUAACGUAGACCCGUGAUCCGGGUUGCGGACAGUGUCUGGUGGGUAGUUUGACUGGGGCGGUCUCCUCCUAAAGAGUAACGGAGGAGCACGAAGGUUGGCUAAUCCUGGUCGGACAUCAGGAGGUUAGUGCAAUGGCAUAAGCCAGCUUGACUGCGAGCGUGACGGCGCGAGCAGGUGCGAAAGCAGGUCAUAGUGAUCCGGUGGUUCUGAAUGGAAGGGCCAUCGCUCAACGGAUAAAAGGUACUCCGGGGAUAACAGGCUGAUACCGCCCAAGAGUUCAUAUCGACGGCGGUGUUUGGCACCUCGAUGUCGGCUCAUCACAUCCUGGGGCUGAAGUAGGUCCCAAGGGUAUGGCUGUUCGCCAUUUAAAGUGGUACGCGAGCUGGGUUUAGAACGUCGUGAGACAGUUCGGUCCCUAUCUGCCGUGGGCGCUGGAGAACUGAGGGGGGCUGCUCCUAGUACGAGAGGACCGGAGUGGACGCAUCACUGGUGUUCGGGUUGUCAUGCCAAUGGCACUGCCCGGUAGCUAAAUGCGGAAGAGAUAAGUGCUGAAAGCAUCUAAGCACGAAACUUGCCCCGAGAUGAGUUCUCCCUGACUCCUUGAGAGUCCUGAAGGAACGUUGAAGACGACGACGUUGAUAGGCCGGGUGUGUAAGCGCAGCGAUGCGUUGAGCUAACCGGUACUAAUGAACCGUGAGGCUUAACCUUACAACGCCGAAG